This 505-nucleotide ribosomal RNA is filed under the name uncultured beta proteobacterium. RNAcentral's name for it is "bacterial SSU rRNA". It matches the Rfam family "Bacterial small subunit ribosomal RNA", at positions 548 to 1050 of the family's 1533-position model. Lineage: Bacteria; Pseudomonadati; Pseudomonadota; Betaproteobacteria. The record is from RNAcentral.
GAAUUACUGGGCGUAAAGCGUGCGCAGGCGGUUUUGUAAGCCAGAUGUGAAAUCCCCGGGCUUAACCUGGGAAUGGCAUUUGGGACUGCAAGGCUCGAGUGCGGCAGAGGAGACUGGAAUUCCUGGUGUAGCAGUGAAAUGCGUAGAUAUCAGGAGGAACACCGAUGGCGAAGGCAGGUCUCUGGGCUGACACUGACGCUCAUGCACGAAAGCGUGGGGAGCAAACAGGAUUAGAUACCCUGGUAGUCCACGCCCUAAACGAUGUCGACUGGUUGUUGGGGGUUUGACACUCUCAGUAACGAAGCUAACGCGUGAAGUCGACCGCCUGGGGAGUACGGCCGCAAGGUUAAAACUCAAAGGAAUUGACGGGGACCCGCACAAGCGGUGGAUUAUGUGGAUUAAUUCGAUGCAACGCGAAAAACCUUACCUACCCUUGACAUGUCCGAGAGCCUGCUGAAAGGCGGGUGUGCCCGAAAGGGAAUCGGAACACAGGUGCUGCAUGGCU